GGUNCAGCCUGCCCAGUGACAAAGUUCAACGGCCGCGGUACCCUAACCGUGCGAAGGUAGCAUAAUCACUUGUUCUUUAAAUGAGGACUCGUAUCAACGGCACUACGAGGGCUAUACUGUCUCCCUUUUCCAAUCAGUGAAACUGAUCUCCCCGUGAAGAAGCGGGAAUCAAAAUAUAAGACGAGAAGACCCCAUGGAGCUUUAAACUCAUCAUACACCUCUGUGCUCUUCCAUCAUCACACACAAGAAAUCUGUAUGCUAGUUUUAGGUUGGGGGGACCACGGAGUACAAUUUAACCUCCACAACAAAUGGGCUAACACCCUUAUCCAUGAGAUACAACUCUAAGAAUUACUAAACUAAUGUUUAUGACCCGAUAAUUCGAUCAAUGAACCAAGUUACCCUGGGGAUAACAGCGCAAUCUACUUCAAGAGCCCAUAUCGACAAGUAGGUUUACGACCUCGAUGUUGGAUCAGGGUAUCCUAGUGGUGCAGCCGCUACUAAUGGUUCGUUUGUUCAACGAUUAAAACCCU
RNAcentral lists this ribosomal RNA (530 nucleotides) under Rana aurora (red-legged frog). Its description in RNAcentral is "partial 16S ribosomal RNA". It matches the Rfam family "Bacterial large subunit ribosomal RNA", at positions 1851 to 2597 of the family's 2925-position model. The record is from RNAcentral. Lineage: Eukaryota; Metazoa; Chordata; Amphibia; Anura; Ranidae.